Molecule: transfer RNA, 65 nt
Filed under: Argas lagenoplastis
Lineage: Eukaryota; Metazoa; Arthropoda; Arachnida; Ixodida; Argasidae
Description: tRNA-Leu
Source: RNAcentral
ACUAAUUUGGCAGAUUAAUUGUGUCAAAUUUAGAAUUUGGUUAUAGGAAAAGUUCCUAAUUAGUG